RNAcentral lists this ribosomal RNA (443 nucleotides) under uncultured bacterium. Its description in RNAcentral is "bacterial SSU rRNA". It matches the Rfam family "Bacterial small subunit ribosomal RNA", at positions 30 to 507 of the family's 1533-position model. The record is from RNAcentral.
CGAACGCUGGCGGCAGGCCUAACACAUGCAAGUCGAACGUGAAGCUGGAGCUUGCUCCAGUGGAAAGUGGCAGACGGGUGAGUAACGCGUGGGAAUUUACCCAGUGGUACGGAAUAACUCAGGGAAACUUGUGCUAAUACCGUAUAAGCCCUUCGGGGGAAAGAUUUAUCGCCAUUGGAUGAGCCCGCGUUAGAUUAGUUUGUUGGUGGGGUAAUGGCCUACCAAGACUACGAUCUAUAGCUGGUCUGAGAGGAUGAUCAGCCACACUGGGACUGAGACACGGCCCAGACUCCUACGGGAGGCAGCAGUGGGGAAUAUUGCACAAUGGGCGCAAGCCUGAUGCAGCCAUGCCGCGUGAGUGAAGAAGGCCUUAGGGUUGUAAAACUCUUUCACCGGUGAAGAUAAUGACGGUAGCCGGUAAAGAAGCCCCGGCUAACUCCGUG